GGCUGGGGGGCUGAAGCGCUGAAGUCUGGAGUAGUGGAGAUAGUGGGUGCGUUCCGUUUCAUGCAUAAUACGCAUGAUGCAUCGUUCAUCCUUGUUGUUUGUCAAACGUUAAACAAGGAUGAACAAUGCAUUAUGCGCAUCAUGCGUUGAAACGGAACGCAGCCAGUAAAAGUAAACAAUGCGAGCCUGCUCCAAAUUGUACGCAGCCAUAUAGCAGCUGGAAAUUUAAUUUUUAUUGUUCUUACUGAGUGUAUCGUCAGAAUAUAGUGACUCUCGAGAGUGCAGAGAUUGAAUUUAAACAAUGUAAAGAUAUUUUCCAAUACUUUUAUCAUUUAUUACAGACGUUGUCUUACUUUUUUUUUAAUCUUCACAAACGCACUUUAAUCUCAAGGCUACGUGUACUUUUCUGAAAAUUGUGAUAAAAUCAGCUCUAUAAAUAUUGAAGUUACACUGCUACAACUUUGGUCCGUUAUUUUCUGAAGAAUCAAAACUGUUUCUCUACAGAAAAAAUGUGCAGUCAAAGUCAGUAAGUGUUUGUGCAAUGUUACAACUCUGAUUCUUUACCUUUAAAAGAAUCGGAGCUGCUAUACAAAAGGAAUGUGCGAUUGCAUCUGAAUCAUCAAGUGUUUGAAAUUAAAGCGUUACAUGAAACUUAAUAGGCUUAAAAAAAUUUUAUAUGAGAUGACUCGAAUGAGGAAUGAACUAUUACUAUAUAAUUUAAUGAAACAUACUUAAUAUGUGGUGAAAAUUUAAUUAUUACAUUUAUUUAAUAAAAAUAUACAAAUUAUAAUACUGUAUUAUUAGUAUUAUUAUUAAUAUUACUGUAUUGAUGAUAAGAAACUGACUAAGGGCCUAUCCAGAUAAACCUGCAUCUUGCAUGUAUGCAAGUUUGUCUGAAUAGGUCCUAAAAAUCAAAUAUUGUCCUUAUGUAUAUGUAUAUUUUUAUAUAUAAUAAAUUAUAUAUCAGGAUA
Long non-coding RNA from Monomorium pharaonis (pharaoh ant), 971 nucleotides. RefSeq lists it as uncharacterized. The transcript is spliced from 3 exons. The record is from RefSeq and is a predicted model, not a curated record. NCBI's taxonomy places the organism in Eukaryota, Metazoa, Arthropoda, Insecta, Hymenoptera, Formicidae.